GACGUAGGGGGCGAGCGUUGUCCGGAUUUACUGGGCGUAAAGCGCGUGCAGGCGGCCUGUUAAGUCCCGUGUGAAAGCCUCCGGCUCAACCGGAGGAGGUCGCGGGAGACUGGCGGGCUUGAGGGCGGCAGAGGGUGGUGGAAUUCCCGGUGUAGCGGUGAAAUGCGUAGAUAUCGGGAGGAACGCCAGUGGCGAAGGCGGCCACCUGGGCCGUCCCUGACGCUGAGACGCGAAAGCUGGGGGAGCGAA
This 249-nucleotide ribosomal RNA is filed under the name uncultured bacterium. Its description in RNAcentral is "partial 16S ribosomal RNA". It matches the Rfam family "Bacterial small subunit ribosomal RNA", at positions 524 to 772 of the family's 1533-position model. The record is from RNAcentral.